GGGGAAUAUUGGACAAUGGGGGAAACCCUGAUCCAGCGACGCCGCGUGAGUGAAGAAGUAUUUCGGUAUGUAAAGCUCUAUCAGCAGGGAAGAAAAUGACGGUACCUGACUAAGAAGCCCCGGCUAACUACGUGCCAGCAGCCGCGGUAAUACGUAGGGGGCAAGCGUUAUCCGGAUUUACUGGGUGUAAAGGGAGCGUAGACGGCACUGCAAGUCUGGAGUGAAAGCCCGGGGCUCAACCCCGGGACUGCUUUGGAAACUGUGGUGCUGGAGUGCAGGAGAGGUAAGUGGAAUUCCUAGUGUAGCGGUGAAAUGCGUAGAUAUUAGGAGGAACACCAGUGGCGAAGGCGGCUUACUGGACUGUAACUGACGUUGAGGCUCGAAAGCGUGGGGAGCAAAC
RNAcentral lists this ribosomal RNA (400 nucleotides) under uncultured bacterium. RNAcentral describes it as "bacterial SSU rRNA". It matches the Rfam family "Bacterial small subunit ribosomal RNA", at positions 356 to 773 of the family's 1533-position model. The record is from RNAcentral.